This 142-nucleotide unclassified non-coding RNA is filed under the name uncultured fungus. RNAcentral describes it as "sequence contains ITS1, 5.8S rRNA gene". Lineage: Eukaryota; Fungi. The record is from RNAcentral.
CCAAAGAUGGCGGGCUUCGGCCCCCGUCCCCAACCCUUUGUUGACCAAAACCCUUUUGCCUCGGGGGCAGAGCGUCCGCCGCCGCCCCCGGAGGACCACCAAACACUGUCUCUGUACGUCGGAGUAUUGCUUAAAUGAAUGA